UAGUCAUAUGCUUGUCUCAAAGAUUAAGCCAUGCAUGUCUAAGUAUAAGCAAUUUAUACAGUGAAACUGCGAAUGGCUCAUUAAAUCAGUUAUAGUUUAUUUGAUAGUACCUUACUACUUGGAUAACCGUGGUAAUUCUAGAGCUAAUACAUGCUAAAAACCCCGACUGCUCGGGAGGGGUGUAUUUAUUAGAUAAAAAAUCAAUGCCCUCGGGCUCUUUGAUGAUUCAUAAUAACUUGUCGAAUCGCAUGGCUUUACGCCGGCGAUGGUUCAUUCAAAUUUCUGCCCUAUCAACUGUCGAUGGUAGGAUAGUGGCCUACCAUGGUGGCAACGGGUAACGGGGAAUAAGGGUUCGAUUCCGGAGAGGGAGCCUGAGAAACGGCUACCACAUCCAAGGAAGGCAGCAGGCGCGCAAAUUACCCAAUCCUAAUUCAGGGAGGUAGUGACAAUAAAUAACGAUACAGGGCCCUUCUGGGUCUUGUAAUUGGAAUGAGUACAAUGUAAAUACCUUAACGAGGAACAAUU
RNAcentral lists this ribosomal RNA (525 nucleotides) under uncultured eukaryote. RNAcentral describes it as "SSU rRNA". It matches the Rfam family "Eukaryotic small subunit ribosomal RNA", at positions 21 to 549 of the family's 1831-position model. The record is from RNAcentral.